UACGGGGGGAGCAAGCGUUGUUCGGAUUUACUGGGCGUAAAGGGCGCGUAGGCGGUCAGCACAAGUCAGUUGUGAAAUCUCCGGGCUUAACUCGGAAAGGUCAACUGAUACUGUGCGACUAGAGUGCGGAAGGGGCAACUGGAAUUCUCGGUGUAGCGGUGAAAUGCGUAGAUAUCGAGAGGAACACUUGCGGCGAAGGCGGGUUGCUGGGCCGACACUGACGCUGAUGCGCGAAAGCCAGGGGAGCGAACGGG
Molecule: ribosomal RNA, 254 nt
Filed under: uncultured bacterium
Lineage: Bacteria
Description: partial 16S ribosomal RNA
Rfam family: Bacterial small subunit ribosomal RNA
Source: RNAcentral